CAAUAGAUAAUAAAUAAUUAUGUUUAGAAAAAUUUAUUAAAAGUUUAUUUUAUAUAUAAAUUAUAGUGUUAAAUUAUUAUUAUUUUAAUAAUAAUAAUAUUUUUAUUAUAGUAAAUAAAAUUAAAAAUUUAAGAAAUUAAGAUUUAGUAAUACAAAAAUUAAUAACAAAUUUUGUGCCAGCAGUUGCGGUUACACAAAAAUUAAAUUGAAUUAUUUCAGUUUAUAAAUAAUAAAUUAAAAUUAAAAUAGAUAUUAAAUUAUUAGGUAAAAUUUUAAUUUAAUUAAAUUUUAUAGGUAAAUUUAUGUUUUAAUAAAUUUUAAGAUAAACUAGGAUUAGAUACCCUAUUAUUAAAAAUUUAAAUUAUAAUACUAAAAUAGUAAAUAAUUAUUUAUUGAAACUUAAAUAAUAUGGCGGUAUUUUAGUUCAUUUAGAGGAAUCUGUUUAAUAAUUGAUAAUCCACGAUUAAAUUUACUUAAUUAAUAAUUUUAUAUAUCGUUGUUAAAAAAAUAUUUUUAAUUAAUAAUAAUAUUUUAAAAUUUAAAUAAAAAAUUAAUUCAGAUCAAGAUGUAGAUUAUAAUUAAGAAUAUAAUGGAUUACAAUAAAUUUAUUUAAAUGAAUAUAUUAUUGAAAAAUAAUAUUGAAGGUGGAUUUAAAUGUAAUUUUAUUUAAUUGAAUAAAAUGAUUUAAAAUUAAAAUAUGUACAUAUUGCCCGUCACUUUCAUUUUAAAGUUGAAAUAAGUCGUAACAAAGUAGAGGUACUGGAAAGUGUUUCUAGAAAA
Molecule: non-coding RNA, 780 nt
Filed under: Parantica sita
Lineage: Eukaryota; Metazoa; Arthropoda; Insecta; Lepidoptera; Nymphalidae
Source: RNAcentral